Molecule: unclassified non-coding RNA, 324 nt
Filed under: soil metagenome
Description: partial contains 5.8S ribosomal RNA, internal transcribed spacer 2, and large subunit ribosomal RNA
Rfam family: 5.8S ribosomal RNA (bases 1-120)
Source: RNAcentral
GAUGAAGAACGUAGCGAAAUGCGAUAAGUAAUGUGAAUUGCAGAAUUUAGUGAAUCAUCGAAUCUUUGAACGCACAUUGCGCCCUGUGGUAUUCCGCAGGGCAUGCCUGUUCGAGCGUCAUUUCAACCCUCAAGCCCCGCUUGGUGUUGGGCCCCGCCCGCUGUGGCCGGCCCUAAAGACAGUGGCGGCGCCGCCUGGCCCUCAGCGUAGUACAUCUCUCGCUCCAGGGUCCGGUGGCCGCCUGCCAGAACCCCCCAACUCUGUGGUUGACCUCGGAUCAGGUAGGGAUACCCGCUGAACUUAAGCAUAUCAAUAAGCGGAGGA